GUUAGAUACCAAUCAAUUUGUCUAUUGUCUGUUUAUGCAACUUCCUGGCUGCAAGUGAUUAACGUCGACAACCAUACUUUAAAAAAUUAAAUAAAUGAAUAAGUAGGUUCCACGCUUUUAUACAUCCCUUGCACAGGUCAUAUUUACCAUGUGGAGGUUCUUAAUGAUUAAGACUCCAAUUAUUAUAAUGCAUCAUUUCACCAUCACCAGGUAAUGCACCUUCUACCUCAAGUCAAAAAUAGAUAGUCAUUCAU
RNAcentral lists this unclassified non-coding RNA (254 nucleotides) under Hevea brasiliensis (rubber tree). Lineage: Eukaryota; Viridiplantae; Streptophyta; Magnoliopsida; Malpighiales; Euphorbiaceae. The record is from RNAcentral.